CCCCUCUCAGGGUUGCACCUGGAGACUUUCCAGGGCUCUCCCAGUCUCGGCUAUGGAAGGGAGAGUCAAGCAGAGGCGUACCCAUUCCAUUCCUAGGUUGGCCAGUGGCUAGCGAGUGGACGGCAAUCUGCAACAAGU
Ornithorhynchus anatinus (platypus) is the source of this 138-nucleotide non-coding RNA. The record is from Rfam. Lineage: Eukaryota; Metazoa; Chordata; Mammalia; Monotremata; Ornithorhynchidae.